GUGUAUUAUUGAUGAUUAUAACAUCAAAUAAUAUCAUAGCAGGUUAUCCUUGAAGAGGCUAACACCUUAAGAAAAGAUCAACAUGAGUACACCACCUGGGAACUGGGAAGGGCAAUCCACUUCUAGUCCUCCACUCUUCAAUGGACAGUACUAUUCUUGGUGGAAAACAGGAUGAUAGUUCAUGUCAUUGGAGAGGACUAUGAACUCUGGGACAUAGUCACUGAUGACCCCUUGGCAACUACAAAUAAGAAUAAUGAAGGAGUGUAAGUACCAAAGAUAAGAGUUGACUGCACUGCUGAAAACCUAAAAAAAGUGGGAGAAAAAUGUUAAGGCCAAGAAAUAGCUUGUGUGUGGACUAGGUCCAGAUGAGUACACCAUGAUCCAAAGUUGUAUCACUACUAAGAGAUCUAGAACACUUUGCAAUUGGCUCAUGAAGGAGCACCUCAAGUGAAGAGGUCCAGAGGAACAUAUUUUAUUCUUAAUAUGAGAAUUUUACUAUGAAGGAAGGAGAAACUAUCCAGGAGAUGUAUACUAGGUUCGCUACAUUGACAAAUGAACUUAAGUCUUUUGGAAGGACUAUUCUUGAAGAAGACAAGGUUGAGAAAAUCUUGACAAGGAUUCUACCAGUCUCAUAGGAAAGCAAAAUUACUACUAUUCAGGAAUCUAAGAAUAUUGCUACCCUCAAGUUGGAUGAACUAAUUGGAAAUCUUACUGCCUAUGAACUGAGAAGCCAAACAAUGAAGAUGGACACACCAAAGAAGGAAAGAAGCUUUGAUCUCAGAAUUGCUGAAGGUUCAGAUCUGGAGGAUGAUGAAAUGGCUAUGAUAACAAGGGAUUUCAAAAGGUACCUGAUGAGAGGAAAGGGUUCUUCAAGAGGUACAACCUUCAACAAACCAAUGGCUCCUGAGAAACAGACCGGCGAGGGUUGCUUCAAAUGUGGUAAGACCAAUCACGACCUUCAACAAACCAAGGGCUCUUGAGAAACAGACCAAUGAGAGUUAUUACAAGUAUGGUAAGACUGAUCAUAUGAUCGACAACUGCGCUCAAUGGGAAAUUGAGUGGAAGAAAGAAAGGGUUGAAUGGAGAAACAUGAAGAGGGAAUAGGUUCAACCAAAGAGGAACAAAGGAUCAAAAAAGUCUCUGGUUGCUUCCUGAGGAGAAACAUCAUAUGAGGACUCAGAGGAUGAAGCUAAAGAUGAAUAGGCCCUUAUGGCAAUUGGAGAAUCUGAUGAUGAACAAGUGGUAAGUAUUCUUCAUCUCAAAGACAAGAUUAAACUUCUAUCUAAGGAAAGGAUGGCUGAGCUAUUACAGGACUUCAUUGAUAAGUCUGAGAUAAUUAACAAUGAGAAGGAAGAUCUUUCUAGGGAACAUGUGAUACUAAAAGCAAAAUGCAAAAGUCUAUAGUCUAGAGCUAAGGAGAUUGAUAGCAAAAAUGUUGAGUUGAACAACCAAGUUCUUGGAAUUGACACCAGUGUCCUAGAACUUAAAUCUGAAAACAUAAAAGUGAAACUAGGAACGGAAAGAAGAAAGCUGAUCACACAUACCUCACUUUAGAAGAAAACUUAGGAAAAAUGAAGGAUGAGUUGUAUAAGAAGGAUGAAUUGAUUAAAGUCCUAAAAGAAGAUCUAAGAAAGGUGAAACAUGAACUAGACAGAACUUGCAAAUGGAUCAAGGCUUCUGAUGCACUUUCUUGGUUGCAAGAGCAUCAUGGUAGCAACAGAAGAGGACAUGGCUAUGUGACUCAAGCACCAAAGUGGGACCCUAAAAGCAAAGACCUCAUACUUCCUGAAAAUGAAAUCUACUCAUAUUGUGGCAAGACUGGCCAUUAAAAGAGUGAGUGUAAUGCUAAAGGAAAGGCCAGUCAAAAGAACAAAGCCUUUGUUCAAGAGAAAAGUAAGCUACCUGGGUGGUCAAGAAGGAAUAUGAUUCAUCCUUUUGCCUAUAGAAAGGGACCCAAACUUGUUUGGGUUCCUAAUACUAACCCCUGAUUUCUUUUUGCAUGUCUAAGUGAAAUAAAGUAGUCAAAUAUGGUAUAUGGAUAAUGGGUGCUCAAAACAUAUGAAUGGGAGCAAGGACCGGUUUCUUUCACUUGAGGACUUAAAAGGAGGCAAUGCCUCAUUUAGGAAUGGGAAGAAAGGUGAGAUAAUUGGGUCGGAAAGGUAGGUAAGACAGACUCUCACUCUAUUGAGAAUGUCUACUUAAUAGAUGGCUUGAAAUAUAGCCCGAUUAGUGUGUCAAAACUGUGUGACUGAGGUAACCUUGUAGCAUUCACCUCUACUAAAUGCUUUGUGAUUAAUCGUACUACUGACAAGAUUGUUUUGCAGGGAAAAAGAGUUAACAAUAUUUACAUUGUACAUUUGUCCACUAUAUCAUAAAAUGAACUAACUUGUCUAAGUGUGCUGUAUAAUGAACCCAUCCUAUAUCAUAAAAUGAACUAACUCAUCUAAGUGUGCACAAAAGACUUGGUCAUGCAAGUCUAAAUCAGCUAAAAAAUUAGUCUCUAAGGACUUGGUGAUAGGAUUACCUAAUAUCAAGUUCAAGGAAAACAAAGUUCGUGAGGCAUGUGAAAGGGGGAAGCAGGUAAGAUCGUCCUUCAAAAGCAAGAAAAUUGUACGUACAACCAAGUCGUUGGAACUGGUCCAUAUAGAUCUAUGUGGUCCAAUGAGAACCAUGAGUAUAGGUGGAAAGAAAUAUGUAAUGGUGCUUGUUGAUGAUUACUCUAGAUUUACUUGGAUUCUAUUUAUAACUUCCAAAGACAAAGCAUUUGACCUGUUUACUGCAUUUGUUAGAAAAACUCAAGAACAAUUAGGAAAUAAACUUGCAUCCAUUAGAUCUAACCAUGGAACUGAAUUUGAAAAUUACAAGUCUUCUAAAUUCUAUGAUGAAAAUGGUAUAGAUCAUAAUUUCUCUGCCUCUAGGAUUCCUCAACAAAAUGGAGUAGCUGAAAGGAAUAAUAGGAAUCUUGAGGACAUGGCUAGAACCAUGCUACUUUCUAGUAAGUUGCCCCACAGCUUAUGGGCAGAGGCUGUAAACACUGCAUGUUACAUAAUCAAUAGAUUCAUGACUAGACCUCUGGUAGAGAAAACUCCCUAUGAGUUACUUAUAGGGAGAAAACAAAACAUAUCUCAUCUUUGGGCAUUUGGUUGCAAGUGCUAUAUGCAUAAUAAUGGAAAGGAAUCCCUAGGUAAGUUUCAAGAAGUGAUUAGGGAGUAUUCUUGGGUUAUUCUUCACAUAGCAAAGCAUAUAAAGUGUUUAAUAAAAGAACUCUGUGUGUAGAAGAAAGUGUACAUAUAUAUUUGUUGAAACUAACAUUCUUUCUGAUAGACAGGAACCUGAAGAUGAAGCCAUUGGAUUAGUAAAGGAUUUAACUGAAGCCUCAGCUCAAGUCAAAGUAGCACCAACAGAAGAAAUAGGUGACGAACGGGUUCUUCCAUCUAGGGGCAACCUAAAAUGGGGAACUAAUCAAAGGGGAAUCGAAAUAAAUCCCUUGAAGGAACUUGUUCAUGACCCUGUUCCUCAUCAACAAAACAUGGGAGAAAGAUCUAGCAGAAACCAUUUGGUUGUGAAACCUCACAAGUAUAAAAGUUCUCAUCCCUUUAAGAACAUUAUCACUGAUCCAACAUCUAGAGUUAAAAUUAGAUCAAAAGUAAAGAAUAUGUGUCCUUUUGAUGCCUUUGUGUCUUUUAUUGAUCCUAAAAAUGUUGUUGAGGCUUUUCAGGAUGCAGAUUGGGUGACUGCUAUGCAAGAGGAACUCAAUCAGUUUGAAAGAAGUCAAUUUUGGCAUCUAGUUCCAAGACCCUAGGACAAAUCAUCAUUGGUACAAAAUGGGUCUUCAGAAACAAACUUGAUGAAGACAGAAUAGUUAAAAGGAACAAGGCAAGACUGGUGGUCCAAGGUUGUAGCCAAGAGGAGGGCAUAGACAAUGAUGAGACUUUUGCUCAUAUUUCAAGAGUAGAGGCAAUCAGACUCCUUAUAGCUUUUGCAGCACACAUUGAACUCACUCUACAUCAAAUGGAUAUCAAAAGUGUCUUCCUAAAUGGCUACCUGAAAGAGAAAGUGUUUGUGAAACAACCACCAGGGUUUGAGAGCAAGAAAUAUCCUGAGCAUUUGUAUAAGUUAGACAAGUCCCUCUAUGGACUCAAGUAGGGUCCAAGAGCAUAGAAUGAAUGAAUGUCAAAAUUCCUACUGGACUAUGGUUACAAGAGAGGUAAAAUUGAUAGUACCUUAUUCUGAAAGGAAAACAAGUAAGGAUCACCUUGUUGUAUAUAUAUAUAUUUAUGACAUAAUCUUUGGGGCCAAUACAGAUAACUUAAUUAAGGACUGCAAGAAUAAUAGGGAGUGAGUUUGAAAUGAGCAUGAUGGGUGGCCUUAACUUCUUUUUAGCCUUACAAAUCAAACAAACUCAAAUAGAACCAUGAUUCACCAGCAGAAGUAUGCAAAGGAACUAAUCAAAAAGAUUAAAAUGGAAGAAACAAAGGAUAUAAAUACACUUAUUGCAAUUGCUACUAAAUUAAAUGUUUGUGAACCUGGUAUAUCUAUUGUCCAAAAGUUGAAUAGCGGUAUGAUAUGUUCACUUCUGUAUCUUACUGCUAGUAGACCUGACAUUGUUUUCAGUAUAUGACUUUGUGCUCGCUUUCAGGCAAAUCCUAAAAAGUCUAAUCUGACUGUUGUCAAACGUAUACUAAGAUACUUAAAAGGCACCAUUGAUCUGUGUAUUUAGUAUCCCAAAGGUAGCAAUUUUGAUCUAGUAGGAUAUGCUGAUACUGAUUAUGCAUGUUUUCUAGUGGAUAGGAAGAGCACCUCAAGUAUGGAAAACUUCCUUGGUUCAUGUCUUGUGUCAUGGGCUACCAUAAAGCAAAAUCAGUGACCUUAUCUACUGCUGAAACUGAGUAUAUUGCUUCUCCAUCUUGUUGUGCUCAAUUGCUAUGGAUCAAAUAGCAGUUAGUAGAUUUUCGUAUUGAAGUCGGUUGAAUUCCAAUAUUAUGUUAUAACACUAGUACUAUAAGUAUGACAAAGAACCAUGUUCAUCAUAAGAGGACUACGAUUAUAGAUGUUAGAAACCAUUUCUUAAGAGAUAACUAUGAGAAAGGACUAAUCUCCAUAGAAUUUGGUUAUGAGUUCUAUUCUUUGUAUAAAUAACUAGAUUAAUUUACUCAGCUUCAUACUUUAAUUAGUAUACUCAUGUGACUUGUGUAUAUAUGAUUCACUUAUCACUUACAAUGUUUUUCUAUUAUGACAUUUGAGACAUGUUCAAGAGAGUUCUAUAUGAAGAACCUGGUUCAUCAGUAUGUGUUCAUGUGAAAGUAUGUUUUCAAUAAUUUGCAUAAUUAGAAAGAUUAAUAAUACAAAGAUGAGCAGAAGUCUGGUCAUUGUUAAAUUCCUAGAAAAUUUUAUCCGUUGAGGCAUCGAACCAGUUUCGUCAAUUUAGAACUCUAAAACCAUGAUUUUUGCCUAAAUUCUAGGGAAGCCAAAUAAUUAAAGUACUGGAAUUAUAGGUUGAUUAGACUUCUCUUUGACCUUGGAAAAGCUGUCACUAGUGAGUGAAUGUCUAAUUGCUUUAAAUACACACUACAUCUCUAAUCUUCUUCAUUAUGCAAUAACCGUUAAAAAAUUUCCUUCAGUUCUAAAAUCGCUUCUCCUCCCCAGAAUUCCCAAAAUCCUCUUCUUCAAAAAUUCCCAAAGCUUCUCAACCAACGAAGAACCAUGUCUAACCCUAAAGAUAAUCAUGGUACUCCCCCACCACCAACUCCAUCAAAUACAUCCUCAUCUACUCCUCCCACUGAGUCCCCAAACCUAGGUUUCGAAGGCAAAAAAUGUUGGCUAGAAAAACUAUAGCAUCUGGAGCUUUGAGAAAGGUUUUAAAUGAGAGAUUGAAAGUUAGCCGAAUGAAAGAAAGCCCAACACAAGAAUCUGACUCCAGUUCUGAGUCAGAAUCCUUUAUAUCUACCAGUGAAGGUGAUGAACAUGGGUCUUCUGACACUGAGAAAAUUCAAGAAACGUCUGUUGAGGUAAGUUCUUCUGUGGUUGAAAACUUAGAAAAUAGGUUUGUUCUAGUUGGACCUAUUAGAGAUAUUAAGGUGGCUGAAUCGAGUAGGAGUGGGAAAUAAAGAGGCAAAGGAGAAGUUCUUGCUAUAUGUGGAGUUGAAUAAAAAAGUGGCAUAAAGUCAGGGGGAAGUGGAUCAGGGAAAGCAGCUGAAGGGUUGGUUCAUCUAAGCAAACAAACAAAUGAACCUGGUUCAUCUGCUGAGGAAACUCUAGAUGAUCCUAUGAAAAAGGUUGGGGCAGGAUAUGACACAAAGAAACACAAAUCAACCUUACAAAAGGCCCCAACUGUUCCCAAGUCAUCCAAGAAAAGAAAGACUUUAUCCUUAAAAUCUAGUGCCUCUUCAGUACGUAGGGGAAGGGCUACAAGAAGUAAGGUAAGACAAAGUGAAGCUGAGCUAUAAAAAGCUCUGGAAGAAAGCAAGAAGAAGAAAACAGAGAAGGGAAAGAAAAAGUUUGCAGAGUCCUUUGAGGUUGAAGAAGAAGAGGAGAUGGAACUGGUACAUCAAGAAAGGGGAACAAUAGUGGAGGUUUCUACACCAAAACCUAAAAAGUCCAAGACUUCUACCGAGAAGUCUCCUUCUGUACAUGAGUCUGAUGAACCCCCACUAGCCAAAAGUACAAGAUCUACAAUGAAAAGGCAAGCAAAAGAAAAUUUUUGAAGAAGAUGAAGAGUGGAGUGGAAAAGAAGAACAGGAAUCUGAGAAGGAGCAGGAUAAGUUUGCCAUCUUUGGCAGAAGAAAAAUUCUAAAAGGAAGAUUGUUGAAGGACAUGGGUGAACAAGAAUGAUGAGACUGCUAGAUGCUCUAGCUGCACAAGGUUGGAAGGACAUGGUCCUUGAAAUGGAUGGGAGGCUGGCCAUGAAUGAGCUGAUUGAAUUUAUGGCCAAUACUGAUGUGAAGGAUGGAGUAGUCACCAGCUUGGUAAAAGGAGUGAAAGUGGAGUUUGAUGCACUCAAACUGGGUGAGAUUUUGGACAUAGCCAUGGAAGGGUAUGAUGAUUAUACAAGACAAAGGUGGCCAUGUAUGGAUUCUCUUCCCACUGCUAUUGAAAUCACUAGAAGGUUUUGUGAUUAUAAAGAUGUGUCUGAAGCCAGAUUUGUGCAGAAGAGUGAAAUAUGACCUGAGCACAAGGUCUUGUUUGAAUUUGUCAACAAGUGCCUCUUACCCAGACAUGAGAGGAGACACACUGCAAAUUACAUGGACCUGAUUCUUAUGGAGUGCCUAGAGAGAAAAUGCAAAUCAACUGGCCUACUUUUAUUGUCAAAUUACUAGACAGGGUCAUCAAUGGCUCUAAGGCAUAUUCUACUCCAUAUGGGUUCAUACUGACUACUGUGCUGGACAAGCUGAACGUACCUUUGAAGAAAUGGGAAAUGGCAUCAAGCAAAGAAUAAUUUGGUGUUAAGAUUCUGAUGGCUUUUGACUAUCCAAUCAAUGCUAUCCCAGUUGAACCUGGUUCAUCUUUGAGGACACCCAUCAAUAGCAAGUUAGGGUUUUGGUUCAGGAGUGUGGAACUAAGGAUGAUGCAAUUGUUAAGCCCAAGGCACAUAUUACUAAAUUGGAAACUGAAAGAGAUGGCCUUAGAACUGAGCUAGCAAAAGAAAAGGACAAAAGCAAUGGAAUGCUUCAGAAUAUGCUAAACCUUCUCCAAUCUAAACCCUCUAGUUCCUCCAAGCCCUAGGUCUCCUAGCACUUAUCUUUUGAACCAGUCAAGUAACCCCCCAGUGACCCAGAUUAGGGAUGUUCCUAUUUUCUUUGAUGGUUAAGCUAAGUUCUUACAGGUUCUCUAAUCAGUGAAAGCACAAAGUUUGUCAUCAUCAAAAAGGGAAAAUUUGUUGGCCCGACAACAAGUAAAGGUUUUGAAGAAUGACAAAUGAAUUCAGUCAUGGACCAGGUCUAUCAUGUGAGGCACAAUGUUAUCAACCCAUAAAUGUGAUCAAAAAGGAGAUAAGUCUCAGUGAUAAAGCAGCAAUAUCUCCUGAACUAGUCAAAAAGGUUGCAUAUUGGAUAAGGAGAGAAAUUCUCCUAAUGAUAAGAGGACACAUUCCGGAUAAAGGAUAGGGUUGGAGUUUUUGUUGUUCAAGGACUCAACUUCGAUGGAAGAUUACAAAUUGAGUCUCAUUUAAACUCUAAUUACUAAUUAAUUAAAUAACAGUGAUUGUUCUGUAUAAUAGGCAUUGCACAAACGCAGAAGUGAAACUAAACUGAGACCAAAAAGAGAGGCAAUUUUGCAAGCAAUAUAUGUGAGAUUUGAGUGUGCAUUCCUGAAGCUACUUGGACAAGAUAUAAGAAAUAAUUUCAUUGUGUCUUUCUUUUAUUCUAGUUCAAUUGUAGUAGGUCGUUUAAAGUUGUACCUUUCAGCUUUCAUAUAAGCAUUUGUACUAGGUACUUUGAGACUUCAAGUUAGAGUUAACUUGAAGGUGUCGCAACAGUUGUGGCUGUGUGCUACACAGGGAUUAGAUUUUAAUCCUUAGGUUUACAAGAGUUUUGUAAAUGCUAUUUUGGAUCAGUGAUUUUAGUGGAGGUUUGGGAAAAUCCAACUGAGUAGUAGGUUGUUGUUUUUUUACCUUUUGAGCGAGGUGUUUUCCACAUAAAAAUCACCGUGUUCUUUAUUUUACGUACUUUUAAUUCCACAAACAGUAGUAGUAAGUACAACUAGAAGAACCAGGUUCUUCUAGACUGAAAAUUGGGUACCACACAAAUCCCCCCCCCCCCCCUCUUCUGUGUUAUGGAUGAUUAGAACAUCAAAACUACUCAGGGUUCAGAUGAGACACUCGUGAACUAUGACAUGCUAUGAUUUGGUCCUUAGUUUUCCUUGAACUGUUAUGAUCAUUUCUCUAUAGUGUCAGUACUGCCCUAUGUUCUUGAAAUCCUUAGGAACUCUAACAAACUAGAGACUUGGGUUCUUAGAUAUCAGUAAAUCAUUCACUGCUAGUUAUGAUAGGCUACAAUCACAUAUUUUAGUCACUUAUUAUACUCAAAUUUACUGCACUUUAAUUGAGUUUGAGCUUUAAUCGCUAGUGUUUUGCACUAAUUAUGUGUUUUAUGCCUUGUAGGAGUGAUUCCGAGCUAUGUCGAUGUUAUGGAAUGAAUUAACGUAAUUUAUAGCUUUGAAUUCUGAGUAAAAGCCCAAGAAAAUAAGCUGGGAUCGUAUUCAGGGAUCAAUAGAUGAUAAAGCAACAAAACAAAGAAUUGAGUAGGUAUUUUGUACACUUUCUAGUAAAAUGUACAUAACUAUUUUCUCAGAACUCUAUUUGUACUCUACAACAUAUGGUUGGAAAGAUAACACAAAGGUAUAAAAUUUUCACAUUUUAUGUUUUACAAAAUUCCAAAUGUAAGAUGGUCAAUAACACGGUCGAAACCGCGACCAUGGACUUGAGGCGGGCAGAGGCAGUACUCUAGGAAAGUACCGUGGCAGAAGACGUCUUUGCCUGGAAACUUGUCCUUUUUCACGUAGGAGAAGGUAUAAUUAUUUGGGUCUGACCCUACUUGGUAUAUAUACAUGGAAAAACAGUAUUUUGAGGGGAGGAGACCAGUUUUUAACAUAGAUUCGACCUAAUGAGGCAGAGACACAAUAGAAGCAAGCGGGGAAUUCUUCGACGAGUUUUUCCUUCCUCUUCCUAUUUUUUUAUUGUUAAUUAUGAAUUUUAGUAUUGUAGUUUUACAUAAAAUUGAAUAGUUAAUUUUUUAUCUGGGGUUUUGAUGGAACCUUUUGUAGGAUAAAUUCUUGUUAUCUUUUUAUAUAAUUGAGCCAUAGUAUUUUUUCUAUUUAUUCAACUAUAUUAUUCUUGUGGUUGAUUAAAGGGCCCUCAAUUAACAGUGCCUAUUUAGUAUAUAUUACUCGGGAGAGAGUGCAUAUUUAGGCAGUUGUUAGAUAACAUCACUCCCGACGUAUGUGAGAAAUCAAUAACCAAGGGUUUAAAGGUGGGAUUAGAGAUAAUGAAACCUUGGGUGCGCUCUAAGUGAGCUGUAAUUAAAGCCAGCUAGCGUAACUCGGAAGAGUAUGUCUAGUAAAUUGUCAUAGUUACUCGGGAGAGAAUUAUAACACGCAGAGCGCUCAUGAUCGGUAGUGAAUACUUAGGCGAAAUAAUAAAAGACACAGUGUGAAGGAUUCCAACAAUUGGGAAAAUCAUAACUCUAGACCUCCUUAAUCUUUCCUCCAACCUGUAAUAUCUUUAGUGUUAAUAUAUUAUUUUAACAUGUUAGUUAGUUAGUUAAACACAAGAAUAUUAAUAUCUAUAAAUUAGGAAUUUUUCAAGCUUGUAUUCUUGGUGAUAAUGAACAACUAUAGCUAAGCCUUAAUUCUCUGUGGAUUCGACUCCGGACUUGUAAGCUGGAUUAUAUUUGCAAUGUCUGCUUAGUCUUUUUUAUAAAGCAUUGUUGGGCAUGAUCAAAAUUUGGGGUCAUUGUCGGGGAACUAAUGGUGUAGUUGUAGAUGUAUAUAUUGCUAAGGUUCAAGUUUGAACUUUUAUUUAUUUAUUUAUUUUUGUAUUUUUUAUAACUAUUAAUUUGAUAAACAUGACAUCUUGAAGUUAUUGAAAUUUGGGUAUAGAUAAUUCUACUAUUGACCCUCAUACGUAUUGUGAAGGAAACCACCCGUAUCAAAGUUAUAAAAAUAUUCCCGAGAGCGAGUUAUGUGCAACAACUCAAUCUUAUUUGUGAAAUGUGUGUGAUGUGUGUGGUGGUAAAAAUGGUCACUUUAAUUGUUGUGCUUAUAUUUUUAUCUUCCCCCAACCUCUUACUAUGAUGGUUCUACCUUUUCUUGUGAAGUUAAUAGGAACAAAGUACCUGGGGAUAUAUACCUGAAUGAGAUCAAGGAUAUAUUAAAGUACCUUCUGAAACAAAAUAAAGAAAAACAAUUGCAGAUAGAAAGGCAAGAGGUAACUAUUCGCAAGUUCGAGGCUCAAUUGAGUCUAGUGGUUGGAGAUUUUAAUGGUCAACAAGCCAAUAUUCAUGAUAGUAGCCAAGAAGAGUAUGAAUUUGAGGUAUUAAUUGGGGACGUCAAAGUAGAACAUCAACAACCUAGCCAACACAACUUGAGGAUGUCAAUGUUGAAGAAUGAAACUAGAGUCAGCCAAGGACAAUGAGAAUACAAAUUUUGUUGACUCUAGUAUCAUUGAUGUUGAGGAUGCUGAAAGUCUUGAAAUUCAUGUGUGUGAGUGCAUUGGUCCUCACUACAAAAUAUUUUUCUACAUUGUGCUUGGAUGAAGAUAUGGAAAUAAAGUCAUCUGAGCUGAUUGAGAAGUCAAGGAAUGAGGAACAAGGUUCCUACAUUCUGGAAUUUUUCUUGCCAGAAAGACAUGACUACAUACCUCAUCUAAAAGCCAAGAAGUGUGGAAUAGUACAAUGGUUGCUCGGGUCAAUUAGAUUUAAUCCUCCACCCCUGGAGCAUAGCCGAAAACUUGAUGUCAAAUUGGGGGUUCAAUUCAUAAGCUCGAGGUGGAGGAAAAAAGUUAUUUGUAUUGUUCCGCGAAGUUAAAUCAAGUGCUUGUUGGGAGGAAACUCACCUUUAUUGCUUUCUACUAUGUAUUAUUAUCUUUUUAGUUGUAUUAUUUGUGUUGUAUCAAUUUUAUAUUUUCUAGAAGCAUGGAAAGUAAAGGUAUUGGAAGGAUACAAUAGCAAACCAAAUGGUUGGAACUAAGUGUGAGGUACCCGCACGAAGGACCAAGCUUGGGAGAAGUCUAAGUACCCCAUGAGUUGUUAAUGCUUCGGCCGUUGGCCUACUAGGGAGUAUCUUUUACCCUUUUAUUAGUUAUAGUGUGCAUUGGAGAUAAUGCACAAUUUAAGUAAAAAGAAAAAAUAAAACAAAAAGAUUUUCUUUUGUUAGGUAGUGUAGCAAUCCUCCCUUGGUUUUCUCUGUGACACGGUUAUUUUUCAAGAGUUUUUUUAACAGGAUGUAGUUAGUUUUUUUAGGAAUAGGAGCCAUUAUGUUGUGUUUUAAAUUGAAUAAAUAUUUCUUGACUUUGUUAUGCCUUGAGAAUAGUGAGUACUUCGGUUAUGACGUUUAGGCUCAGUUUUUGACUCUUGUAUAAGUACCUUAAAUUGUAUGAUUUUAAAUUUUCUUAACUGCUUUGACUAGAGUGUCUUGAUGAUUCCAAUCCUGAGUGAGUUAUGUCAUGUGUGUGCAAGGAUUUGUUAUAUUCUAUGCAUUGCAUUUGAUGCCUAGAACUUGCCCCGUGUGUUUCAAAGUACUAUGUGUCAGGUGUGUGUGAGGUUUGGGAUUAUUUUGUGCAUUGCAUUUGAUGCUUAGAACUUGUCCCGUGUGUUUGCAACGCGAAAUAGUAGUUUUGUUCAGUCUAGGAAGUGAUAUAGGCAUUUUUUUGUUGAGCCAGACAUAUAUGUUUUACCCGCCUAAUUAUUAUAUAUCGUAGUAAAACCCUUUGAGCCUGUAAUCCUGUUUCUUUGGCAACCACAUUGCAAAUUUUACCCAUUUGAUGAAUUAACCAUCUAUUUGAAACAUUGUAACCUCUCAUGAGAACUUGAAUUAUUAUGAACUUUGUAAAGGUUAAAGUGUGGGGUGCUUGGUUUGGCUUUUGAGCGGAACUAAUUAAAUAAGGAGAAAGGUGAACUUUUUUGAAAAAGUAAGAGCCACUUAAAUUGGAAAAAAAAAAAAGAAAUAGUUGGAUUGUUCAUAAAAAAAUUAGUUGAUAAGUGGUGGCUCUUGAUGUAAGUGUUCUUAAAGAAGAAUGGGGUAAUAUACAUUAAUGUGAAAUUCGAGUUGUGGUUAGACAUAAGUAUAGGGUUUGAAUGUUAAAGUAAAUGUAUUAAAGUGCUUAGGGAGGUGUAGUCACUCUUAUAUCUAAAUGUAUUCUACCCGUCUUGUAGCCUACAUUACAACCAAAUAAAGUUUUAAUUUUUCCUAGAUUGAAUGAGCUCGAUUAGUGGUGUAGUACACUACGGGCUUGUGGUGCAUCUUUUUUAGCAUACGAAUGUUAUUUCUAAGAGUGAGUGAAUUUCUUUCUAUCUUGAGUUCCUAAGUGUUCUUAAAUUUUAUUGAGUGGAACUACUCUCUUUUUUUGUUGGUGGGCACUUGAUUCAUGAAGGAAAGAUAAUGUUAGUGAAUUGUAUGUUAGAGUAAGUGGGUGAAUUUUGAAUAAUAUAUGGUACUUGUGAGUCAAAUUUUGAGGUGAAGGUGUUACGCUUUUUUGCGUAGUUUAUUUUAAAUACUCUUGGUGUGAUGAGUUUGGAAAAUUAUCUAAGAAGGUCGUGUCUAUAAAAAAUGCAGUUUGAUUGCUCGAGGACGAGCAAUGGCUUAAGUGUGGGGUGUUAGUUAUAGGCUAUUAUUACGUAUUUUAGUCACUUAUUACACUCAAAUUUACUAGACUUUAAUUGAGUUUGAGCUUUAACCGCUAGUGUCUUGCACUGAUUGUGAACUUUAUGCCUUGUAGGAGUGAUUCCAAACUAUGUAGAUGUUAUGGAAUGAAUUCAAGUGAUUUGGAGCUUUGAAGUCUUAGUAAAAGCCCAACAAAACAAAGAAUCGAGUAGGCCUAUUGCGUAUUAUAUGGUAAAAUGUACAUAACUCUUUCUUCAUAACUCCAUUUUCCCUCCAAAAUAUAUGGUUAGAAAGCUAACUCAAACAAUUUUCAUGCCUUACAUAUUUCCAAAUCCCAAAUGGAACAGGGUGAAAAAUAUGGUCGAAACGGCAACUGCGGACCUGAGGCGGGCAGAGGCAGUACACUACGAAAGUACCGCGCCCGCUCCUGGGAUCAAAAUUUCUACUAUCUUAUCUGGAUUUCAAGGCUAAUUCUUACUUUUUUAAUUCAUAUAUCAUUUUAGGAUCAAAUCAAUUCACUUGUCUAUAAAUCAUGCAUAAAUUCAAUUGUACCAUUUUACGGGUAAACAAACAUAUAACAACUAAUCCUUUUUUCAUCAACAUAUAAAACAUACUGAAGCAGAUUGCCAUUUGUGCGUGAAUGUGUCUAAGGACUUUGCGACUAGUCAUGUUUCAAGCAAAUAUCAAUGAGCCGACUCCUUCAAUAAGUCGUUGGGAGUUCAAGAGUUUGUCACACCUCCUUUUACACACCCGAAGAUAUAUAUAAGGAAGUUUUUCCAAUAUAAGUGACACUAUUCGAAAUGGAAUUAUUUAUUUAUUAGAGUCACCACUUGGGAUAGUUUAUUUAGUGUCCCAAGUCACCGAUUUAUUUUACAAAUCCUAAAUCAAGGAGAUUCAACUUUCCUUAUGAAGUCUGCAAACCAUAAAUUCUGAGUAAGAAAUUAUGUUAACCCGGGGGAAGGUGUUUGGAACUCCCGGGGUUCUGUGGUUCUAGCAUGGUUGCUUAAACUAUUACAAUUGGUCUAUUAUCUGAUUUUAAUAAAUAUUUUAAAACUAUGGUACAAUUUUAACUUAUUAAACUGCUUUGAAUUAUUUAUAGGAAGAUUCAGUGUUAUUUAUAAUGCGACUUGAAACAAGUCACAUGUAAUGCACCCGUUGUCCAUGAUACAUUUAAUUUACAUUGACGAGAAUUGGAGUUGGGUCACAUGAAAUACACACCCGAGUUUAAGGAAAUUAAUUUAAAUCGUUCGCCUAAAGCAACUACACACUUUCAAGUUUGCGAGGGACAUGGCAAAUUCAACUAAUGGCACGCCUCCAUUCUAAUUGUUCAAAAGAUUUGAUGUUAUUCAAUCACGAGGGUCAUAAGCUAUUCAACAACAAUAACCCAGUAUAAUCCCAAAAAUGUGGUUUGGGAAGGGUAAUAUGUAUGCAAACCUUACCCCUAUCCCGAGGAGCAGAGAGGUCGUUUCCAGGAGACCCUCAACUCAAGAAAGCAACAAAAGACGAUAUAUUAGUACUAUCAAUAGACCCAUAAAAAAUAACAUAAAAUACAUAACAUAACAUAAAAUAACAAAAAUAACAGCAAUAUAAGAAAUAUAGGAAAUACGAAAAGGAUGGAAGGUAGACUAAUAUCCAACAGAUAAAGCACUGAAUCUGUAUCUGAUCAGUAGCAUCCUAAGACUAGCUUCUAACUGGCUAGUGUCACUCUAUGGCCAUGUCCUUGGUAAUCCAAAAGUCGGGCCAUGUCCUGCUUGAUCACCUCUCCCAAUACUUUUUAGGUUUCCCUCUACCAAUCCUCGUGCCCACCACAGCUAGUCACUCACACCUUCUCACCGGUGCAUCAGUGCUCCUCCUUUGAAUGUGCCCGAACCAUCUGAGUCUUGGUUCCCGCAUCUUGUCCUUCAUGGGGGUCACGCCCACCUUCUCUCGAAUAUCUUCAUUCCUAAUCUUAUCCAUCUUUGUAUACCCGCACAUCCACCUCAACAUCCUUAUCUCUACUACUUUCAUCUUAUUGAUGUGUGAGUUCUUAGCCGGCUAAAACGAGAUCCUAUAAAACAUGGAUGGCCUAACCACUACUCUAUGAAACUUACCCGGGGAACACGCCCACCUUCUCUUGAAUAUCUUCAUUCCUAAUAUUAUCCAUCCUUGUAUGCCUGCAUAUCCAACUCAAUAUCCUCAUCUCUACUACUUUCAUUUUCUGAAUGUGUGAGUUCUUAGCCGGCCAACACUCGGUCCCAUACAACAUGGAAGGCCUAACCACUGCUCUAUAAGACUUACAUUUUAGUAACAGUGGAACUUUCUUGUCACACAGGACUCCCGUCGCUAACCUCCACUUCAUCCACCCUACCCCUAUACGGUGUGUGACAUCCUCGUUGAUCUUCUUGAUCCCCUGAAUAACUGACCCAAGGUACUUGAAACUACCACUCUUAGGGAUGACUUGAGAGUCAAGCCUCACUUCCGCUCCUGCUUCCAUCGGCUCGGCCUCAAAUUUGCGCUCGGGGUAUUCUGUCUUUGUCCUGCUCAACCUGAAACCUUUAGAACUAAGGGAAUAUCUCCAAACCUCCAGUCCCUCGUUAACGUUGCAUUGUGUCUCGUUAGUUAGGGCUAUGUCAUUAUAUAAUGGCAUGAUCCAUGACACCUCCCCUUGAAUAGGAUGUGUUAUGGCAUCCAUCACCAGGGAAAAUAGGAAAGGGCUGAAAACAGACCCUUGGUGCAACCCCAUAACAACCAAAAAAUGCUCAGAGUUGCCUCCUACUGUCCCAACCCGGGUCUUAGCUCCAUCAUAAAUUUCUUUAAUCACCCUAAUGUAGACAACUAGAACCACUUUAAGCUCUAAGAAGCUCCAUAAGACCUCUCUAGGAACCUUGUCGUACGCUUUCUCUAGAUCAAUAAACACCAUGUGGCGAGCCUUAUUCUUAUCCUUGUAUUGUUCCACCAUCCUCCUAAUAAGGUGGAUAGCUUCUGUGAUCGAUAGCCCCAACAUGAAACCGAACUGGUUAUCUGAAAUAGACACAAUCCUUUGCACUCUCAUUUCUACUACUCUCUCCCAGACUUCCAUGGCAUGACUCGGUAAUUUUAUACCCUUAUAGUUAUUAGAGCUCUGGAUAUUGCCUUUGUUCUUAUACAAUAGAACCAUUUUACUCCACCUCCAUUCUUCAGGCAUUCUAUUAGUCUUGAAUAUAACAUUAAACAACCCAGUAAGCCAUUCCAAGCCUGUUUUACCCACACACUUCCAAAGUUCAACUGAAAUUUCAUUUGGUAUGGUAGCUCUGCCCCUAGACAAUCAAUAAGAUUUCUCUGGAAUCGUUUGACUAGACAUGAGUUUAAUGAAAAAUAUGACUCUACCCACACACCUCCAAAGUUCAACCGGACUUUUGUUUGGCCUGGUAGCUUUGCCCCUUCUCAUCUUACGCAUUGCCUUCAUGACCUAAUCGGCCUCAAUGUCCCUAUAAUAACUUAAUUCAUAGGAUCUUUCGGCAUUUCUCAAUUCACCUAGUACAAUAUCCUGAUCCCCUUCUUCAUUUAAAAUUUUAUGAAAGUAGGCCUGCCAUCUCCUCUUAAUCUAGAUAUCCCCCAUCAGAACUUUUUUGUCCUUAUCUUUUAUGCACUUCACCUGGUCCAGAUCCCGAGCCGUCCUCUAUCGUACAAUAUCCAAACCAAAUCAAAUUAUUUCGGAAGGUUAAUCUAAAUUGACAAUCGCUGAUAUUAUAACAGUUUAUUCAAAAUCCCAAAGAUGUGCUACCUAUCUUAUAUUGAGCCCACAAGGAUAGUAGGAACACUUGACUACUUUAGCAGAAAAGAAAAAGCUAACAUGCUAAAACCAAAAUAAUAAAAGUCCAAGUACAAGCCUUAUAUGAAUCACAAAGUCCUUAGCAUGAAUUAAUAUGAGAAAUUACAUAAUUUAAACAUGGAAUACGGGUGCAUCUUCAGCAAUUACUUGACAUUCAACUAAAACUUAGGUUUAAGGAUUCAAAAUGCCUCAAACUCAAACUCCACAUAUUGACAAGGUCCCAAAAUGUACCUCGUUUCAGCAAAUAAACAAGGAAAACAACCUGAGGUUAAGGAGAGAGCAGCAACCGUAACUCACCCAAAAAUGAAAGCAAACAACUGCAAACCCAACAAAACCAAAAAGAAGCAAACCAAGCUCUUAAACCAUUUUGAACCCAAAAUAACCAGUAAUUAUUGACGAAAAGUUGACUAUAGAGAUUUAAUAAAGAAACAGGAAACUAGAACCGAAUUCUUCCACCAAAUUGUAAGAAAUCUUUAAUAGUUUUGAACUCAACUUUUCUUUAAUUUUUCAAUGUUCAGUCUGUAGAAAAUCAUUCUAUCCAUAAUAUAUGUACUUUGGUUGUAUUAGCAUGAUUUUCAGGUAUAGGUUUUGAUGAAUGACAAACAANNN
RNAcentral lists this long non-coding RNA (17713 nucleotides) under Nicotiana benthamiana. RNAcentral describes it as "long non-coding RNA (NBEN_LNC007352)". The record is from RNAcentral. Lineage: Eukaryota; Viridiplantae; Streptophyta; Magnoliopsida; Solanales; Solanaceae.